UGAAGGUAAUUGAAUGAAACUGAACUUUUAUGUUGCAGAACCAAUCUCAAGAAAAAACAAGGGAAAGUUCAUCUCACAUUAAAUUAAAUUAACCUACCUGUAACAUGUGAAUUAUAACAAGUGAUAUGAUGAGCCCAUCUGUUGGGGCAAGCCUAAUUCUCCUGUAAUCUUCUGUAGUUAUAUCCCUACCAAUCAGAUCCUUCAGGGAAAGGCUCCAAUGC
This 221-nucleotide unclassified non-coding RNA is filed under the name Hevea brasiliensis (rubber tree). Lineage: Eukaryota; Viridiplantae; Streptophyta; Magnoliopsida; Malpighiales; Euphorbiaceae. The record is from RNAcentral.